UGGGGAAUUUUGCGCAAUGGGGGAAACCCUGACGCAGCAACGCCGCGUGAGUGAUGAAGGCCUUCGGGUCGUAAAGCUCUGUCAGAGGGGAAGAAAUGCAGGGGUGCUAAUAUCAUCUUUGCUUGACGGUACCCUCAAAGGAAGCACCGGCUAACUCCGUGCCAGCAGCCGCGGUAAUACGGAGGGUGCGAGCGUUGUUCGGAAUUAUUGGGCGUAAAGCGCGUGUAGGCGGUUUGGUAAGUCUGAUGUGAAAGCCCCGGGCUCAACAUGGGAGGUGCAUUGGAGACUGUCAGAGUGGAGUGCGUGGGUGGGGAGUGGAAUAUCUGGUGGAGGGGUGAAAAACGGAGAUAUUAGGAGGAGAACCGGUAGGGAGGGCGGCGACAAGGGAGGAUAUUGACGCGGAGACGCGAGAG
Molecule: ribosomal RNA, 413 nt
Filed under: uncultured bacterium
Lineage: Bacteria
Description: bacterial SSU rRNA
Rfam family: Bacterial small subunit ribosomal RNA
Source: RNAcentral